AGUGAACGCUGGCGGCAGGCCUAACACAUGCAAGUCGAACGAGUGGCGGACGGGUGAGGAAUAUAUCGGAAUCUACUUUUUCGUGGGGGAUAACAUAGGGAAACUUACGCUAAUCCCGCAUACGAUUGAAUGCGCCGAUGUCGGAUUGGCUAGUUGGCGGGGUAAAGGCCCACCAAGGCGACGAUCCGUAGCUGGUCUGAGAGGAUGAUCAGCAACACUGGAACUGAGACACGGUCCAGACUCCUACGGGAGGCAGCAGUGGGGAAUAUUGGACAAUGGGCGCAAGCCUGAUGCAGCCAUGCCGCGUGGGUGAAGAAGGCCUUCGGGUUGUAAAGCACUUGUAGUGGGAAGGCGGUACCCAAAGAAGAAGCACCGGCUAACUUCGUGCCAGCAGCCGCGGUAAUAC
This 406-nucleotide ribosomal RNA is filed under the name uncultured bacterium. RNAcentral's name for it is "partial 16S ribosomal RNA". It matches the Rfam family "Bacterial small subunit ribosomal RNA", at positions 29 to 526 of the family's 1533-position model. The record is from RNAcentral.